CAACAUUCGGGUUCCUGGCUCAUAGUUUACAACAACCUGUGGCUGACGUUGUAAGCUCGGGUCCUGGCAUUGGAUUCAUCGUGUACCCAGAGGCAGUUGCAUUACUGCCGUUUCCUCAACUGUGGUCCGUGUUAUUCUUUACAACAGUGCUGAUGAUGGUGGUUGACUCAACGUUGGGACAUGUUGAGACAGCUGUUGGUUGUAUGGAAGAUCUGCUUCCGAGGCGGUUCCACGUCAAGCACCUGCAGACUAUCAUAGCUGCUGUGUUCAUGGGAGUCGUGUGCCUUGCUGGUCUUGUGUUCACAACUCAUGGCGGAGUAUACGUGUUUCAGUUG
Molecule: long non-coding RNA, 335 nt
Organism: Haliotis rubra (blacklip abalone)
Lineage: Eukaryota; Metazoa; Mollusca; Gastropoda; Lepetellida; Haliotidae
Exons: 4
Source: RefSeq, a predicted model, not a curated record